CCUACGGGGGGCUGCAGUGGGGAAUAUUGGACAAUGGGCGCAAGCCUGAUCCAGCAAUACCGCGUGUGUGAAGAAGGCCUGAGGGUUGUAAAGCACUUUUAAUCGGGAGGAAUAGCGGUCGGUUAAUACCCGGUCGUCUGACAUUACCGAUAGAAAAAGCACCGGCUAACUCCGUGCCAGCAGCCGCGGUAAUACGGAGGGUGCAAGCGUUGAGCGGAAUUACUGGGGGUGGAUGGUGCGGUCAGAUUUGAAAGCCCCGGGCUUAACCUGGGAACGGCAUUUGAAACUGAUCGACUGGAGUUGGGUAGAGGGGAGUGGAAUUUCAGGUGUAGCGGUGAAAUGCGUAGAUAUCUGAAGGAACACCAGUGGCGAAGGCGGCUCCCUGGACCCAAACUGACGCUGAGGCACGAAAGCGUGGGUAGCAAACAGGAUUAGAUACCCUGGUAGUC
This 449-nucleotide ribosomal RNA is filed under the name uncultured bacterium. Its description in RNAcentral is "partial 16S ribosomal RNA". It matches the Rfam family "Bacterial small subunit ribosomal RNA", at positions 338 to 795 of the family's 1533-position model. The record is from RNAcentral.